GAUGAAGAACGCAGCGAAAUGCGAUAAGUAAUGUGAAUUGCAGAAUUCAGUGAAUCAUCGAAUCUUUGAACGCACCUUGCGCCCUUUGGCCAUUCCGAAGGGCAUGCCUGUUUGAGUAUCACGAACACCUCAACUCUUUAUGGUUUUCCAUGAUGAGCUUGGACUCUGGGGGUUUUGCUGGCUCACAGUCGGCUCCUCUAAAAUGAAUCAGCUUACCAGUGUUUGGUGGGUAUCAUGGGUGUGAUAACUAUCUACGCUUGUGGUUUUUCCACCAGGUAACCUUCAGCAGUGGAGGUUCGCUGGAGCUCAUAGAUGUCUCUCCUCAGUGAGGACAGCCCUUUGAAUGUUUGAUCUCAAAUCAGGUAGGACUACCCGCUGAACUUAAGCAUAUCAAUAAGCGGAGGA
RNAcentral lists this unclassified non-coding RNA (405 nucleotides) under soil metagenome. RNAcentral's name for it is "partial contains 5.8S ribosomal RNA, internal transcribed spacer 2, and large subunit ribosomal RNA". The stretch from base 1 to 121 matches the Rfam family "5.8S ribosomal RNA", at positions 35 to 154 of the family's 154-position model. The record is from RNAcentral.